Molecule: ribosomal RNA, 36 nt
Filed under: Fusarium lateritium
Lineage: Eukaryota; Fungi; Ascomycota; Sordariomycetes; Hypocreales; Nectriaceae
Description: partial 28S ribosomal RNA
Source: RNAcentral
AACUUCUGAAUGUUGAGCUCGGAUCAGGUAGGAAUA